AGAAGUUUAGGUUAACUUAGACCAAAAGCCUUCAAAGCUUUAAGUAAGUCAUCACAGACUUAACUUCUG
Molecule: transfer RNA, 69 nt
Filed under: Miniopterus fuliginosus (Japanese long-fingered bat)
Lineage: Eukaryota; Metazoa; Chordata; Mammalia; Chiroptera; Miniopteridae
Description: tRNA-Trp
Source: RNAcentral